Schistosoma rodhaini is the source of this 45-nucleotide non-coding RNA. The record is from Rfam. Lineage: Eukaryota; Metazoa; Platyhelminthes; Trematoda; Strigeidida; Schistosomatidae.
AUCAAGCUGACGAGUCCCAAAUAGGACGAAACGCGCGUCCUGGAU